Syngnathus acus (greater pipefish) is the source of this 694-nucleotide long non-coding RNA. RefSeq lists it as uncharacterized. NCBI's taxonomy places the organism in Eukaryota, Metazoa, Chordata, Actinopteri, Syngnathiformes, Syngnathidae. The record is from RefSeq and is a predicted model, not a curated record. The transcript is spliced from 2 exons.
UUUGCUUUCAGUGUUCGACCCUGACAGCAGUUAAGCAAUGUGAUCUGCUUCGAAACCACCUGGAAGGGCCACCAAUUACCAAUUGUCCUUGCCUCUGCCGCCCGUCCUGGCCGACUGCCCAUUUACGAUCACGUUCUGAUCGCCGCCCGUCCUGACUCUCUGCCUGUCCCUGACCACGAUCAUUGCAAGGGCCCGGCCUGCGAUGCACUUGCUUUGCUGCUCUCUCCACCAGGUCGACUCCUGCCCAUCUGCACCCCAGCACGGCAUGGAGAGUGUUCCGCUGCAAAGCCGUUGAUUCCAGUCGACUGCCACACCUCGAGCUGAUCAUCGCCUCGAUCCAGCUAGAGCUCCAGCACUUCAACUCCCCUUCCCCAACCCUCUACAGACCCUUCUCACCCAGGUCACAGUCUGUUCGAACUAUUCCCCUCCGGACGGCAUUACAGAGCGCUGUACGCCAAAACCAGCAGACACAGACACAGCUUCUUUCCCCAGGCUGUCGCUCUGAUGAACUCACACCACUCAUAGAGUCUCAGAGACAUCACUGGGCAAUAAUAUCCUGUUCUUGCCACUUAAAUGUUGUUGGUCACCUGAAUGUUGUUAGUCACUUAAAUGUUGUCCAGCGGCUGAGAUCAACCGGAGUCAAAUUCCUUGUUUGGCAUGCACAAACUUGGCCAAUAAAGGUGAUUCUGAUUCU